This 374-nucleotide ribosomal RNA is filed under the name uncultured Glomeromycotina. RNAcentral's name for it is "LSU rRNA". The record is from RNAcentral. Lineage: Eukaryota; Fungi; Glomeromycota.
UUGAAAGGGAAACGAUUGAAGUCAGUCGUACCAGCGGGAAAUCAACCUUUCGAGUGGUGUUUUGGAGUUUUGAAGUGUGUCAAAACCUUUGAGAUUUUAAAAUUUUCGCUCUUUUGGUGUACUUUCUCGUGGGUAGGUUAACAUCGAUUUUGAUCAUCAUAAAAGGACUGGAGGAAUGUAGCUUCGAUCUUGUAUUGAAGUGUUAUAGCCUUUGGUAAAUGUGAUGAUUAGGAUCGAGGAUUGCAACGAAUACCCUUUUGGGCUAUCCGCCUGAUCUCUGAUACGUGGCCUUGGUAUCGAAAGCGUGCUUAUGGUAUUGAGGUAUUACGGUCAAAAGGUUAGAACGGACUACAUUCGUUAAGGAUGUUGACGUA